AUCACCAUAACCUUAAUUGCAAAUUCGACAUAUAAAAUGGAAAUUACUACAGAAGAAAAAUAAAAGGAAAGAAAAUCCAGCUUUGUUGUUGACAAUCAGAGUAUCAAACGAUAAAGAGAAAAACGAAACCCGCUGCCGAAUCGCUCUUCCCCAAGAUUUGCUCAAACGCUAGUAGCACUCUCAAGUUACUCAGUCAUUUCAUCAAACACCAAGGACUAAACAAACAAAUCACCAAGAAUUUUCGCCCAAACAUAAAAGCAAAAAUAGAAAGGGCGUCAAAGAGAGUAAAUGACCUGAGAGUCCAAACCCAGACUCAAG
RNAcentral lists this unclassified non-coding RNA (318 nucleotides) under Hevea brasiliensis (rubber tree). The record is from RNAcentral. Lineage: Eukaryota; Viridiplantae; Streptophyta; Magnoliopsida; Malpighiales; Euphorbiaceae.